Oncorhynchus keta (chum salmon) is the source of this 511-nucleotide long non-coding RNA. RefSeq lists it as uncharacterized. Lineage: Eukaryota; Metazoa; Chordata; Actinopteri; Salmoniformes; Salmonidae. The transcript is spliced from 3 exons. The record is from RefSeq and is a predicted model, not a curated record.
UAUGAAGCAGGUUUGAGGGGUAUCAUAUGAAGCAGGUUUGAGGGGUAUCCCACGAAGCAGGUUUGAGGGGUAUCCUACGGAGCAGGUCUGAGGGGUAUCCCACGAAGCAGGUUUGAGGGGUAUCCCACGAAGCAGGUCUGAGGGGUAUCCCACGAAGCAGGUUUGAGGGGUAUCCUAUGAAGCAGGUUUGAGGGGUAUCCUAUGAAGCAGGUUUGAGGGGUAUCCUAUGAAGCAGGUUUGAGGGGUAUCCUAUGAAGCAGGUUUGAGGGGUAUCCUAUGAAGCAGGUUUGAGGGGUAUCCUAUGAAGCAGGUUUGAGGGGUAUCCUAUGAAGCAGGUUUGAGGGGUAUCCUACGAAGCAGGUUUGAGGGGUAUCCUAUGAAGCAGGUUUGAGGGGUAUCCUAUGAAGCAGGUUUGAGGGGUAUCCUACGAAGCAGGUUUGAGGGGUAUCCUAUGAAGCAGGUUUGAGGGGUAUCCUACGAAGCAGGUUUGAGGGGUAUCCUACGAAGCAGG